UCCAUACUGUCCAUGGCAAAAUCCCAGAAGCCUCUCUGCUCAAAGGGCAGGGCCGAGGACAGGGAGAGCAGCCGGGUCACACAGAGCAACACCAAGACGGAGCAGUGUGGCAACAUGGUGACGUGUAACACCUUUUGGCUAGAAGUAAGAUCUUAAUUCCAAUAUUCAAAAAAAAAAAAGACUGAAGGGUGCUUUCUCCCUCUGUGCGUCAGAUUAUCCCGGAGAUUUAGAAAAUGUCCCAAUUUUCAUCACAUUUAGGGAUUAUUACAGUAUUUUCCUCUGGUCUUCUGACAUCAAGCCACAGCUCCUCCACCACUGUGGGCCACAGCAAACUAACACUGUGUGCUCUCUUCAGUCCAAACCAAA
Thalassophryne amazonica is the source of this 366-nucleotide long non-coding RNA. RefSeq lists it as uncharacterized. The record is from RefSeq and is a predicted model, not a curated record. The transcript has 3 exons. Lineage: Eukaryota; Metazoa; Chordata; Actinopteri; Batrachoidiformes; Batrachoididae.